GACGCCAGCCCUCAUCAGCCUCUUCCUGUGCAGAGCUGGCUCCUGCACUUCCCCUUCCCCCUCCUCCAGCUCUGGCGUCUCAAAUUAAGCCCGCGGCUCGAGGGUGGCGCUGAUUGGCUGAAGGAGAUUUGGAGACAGACCGGAAGACCCCACGCUGAGGGAGACCCGAACUGCCUUCGGCUGGGCAGAGGAGGGAACCUUAUCCAGUUGGGGUCUGGGACUCUCUCCAUAAGAAAAGAAAAGAGUGUUAAGUUGAUGAAGCCAAGGUCCCAAGUUGGAGGGGAGAAGCUACUCAAUUGAAAGGAAAAAUGCAGUGACAGGCUGGCUACACCGCAUACAAUCUUCUGAAACAAGGUAAGUAUUUAUUCUCUGGGACUAUUUUUUUUUCCGGUUGGGCCUUCUUUAGCAAACAACUAUUUUUUAUCAUCAUCUAUAUUGUUGGAUCACCUCAUUCUUCAUCACUUCAUGCAAAUAUCUAUAUAUUUCUCUGAACUUAUAUUUAUGAUAUCCUACUGCUCAAUGAUAUCUUAUAUUUAGCUAUCCCAAUCAGGUGACACUCACUUUAUUUUCCUUUCUUUGCUACCACAAAAGAUGCUGUUAUAUUUCAGUAUAUAUGAGAUUUUUUUUUCUGCGUCAUUGAACUCCUUUAGUAUAAGUUCAGCAGGGAAUUUCUGAACAAAAGAGUAUAAAGAAUUUAGUAAAUUUCUUAACAUGGUUCUAGUCAUUUUUUUAAGCUACUUCCAGAAUAAUUAGAUCAAUUCACAGUUUCACCAAUAGUAUAUUAGUAAUAUUCUUGUCUCCCAACACAACCUCUAAUAUCAAAUAUUAUACUUGCUUACUCUCUACCAAUUUUCAAGGUAUGAAACUGAUGCGGUUUUUUUUUCUUCUCAUCAAUAGUUAUUUGGAGUAUGCUUUUAUAUCAUUAUUUAUGGUUUGAAAUUCUUUAAAAUUUUUAAAAUUAUUAUCC
RNAcentral lists this long non-coding RNA (967 nucleotides) under Monodelphis domestica (gray short-tailed opossum). RNAcentral's name for it is "lncRNA (ENSMODG00000040936.1)". The record is from RNAcentral. Lineage: Eukaryota; Metazoa; Chordata; Mammalia; Didelphimorphia; Didelphidae.